GACGAACGCUGGCGGCGUGCCUAAUACAUGCAAGUAGAACGCUGAAGAGAGGAGCUUACUCUUCUUGGAUGAGUUGCGAACGGGUGAGUAACGCGUAGGUAACCUGCCUUGUAGCGGGGGAUAACUAUUGGAAACGAUAGCUAAUACCGCAUAACAAUGGAUGACACAUGUCAUUUAUUUGAAAGGGGCAAUUGCUCCACUACAAGAUGGACCUGCGUUGUAUUAGCUAGUAGGUGAGGUAAUGGCUCACCUAGGCGACGAUACAUAGCCGACCUGAGAGGGUGAUCGGCCACACUGGGACUGAGACACGGCCCAGACUCCUACGGGAGGCAGCAGUAGGGAAUCUUCGGCAAUGGGGGCAACACUGACCGAGCAACGCCGAGUGAGUGAAGAAGGGUGUCGGAUCGUAAAGCUCCGUUGUAAGUCAAGAACGGGUGUGAGAGUGGAAAGUUCACACUGUGACGGUAGCUUACCAGAAAGGGACGGCUAACUACGUG
This 497-nucleotide ribosomal RNA is filed under the name uncultured bacterium. RNAcentral's name for it is "partial 16S ribosomal RNA". It matches the Rfam family "Bacterial small subunit ribosomal RNA", at positions 28 to 507 of the family's 1533-position model. The record is from RNAcentral.